AGUUAAGGUGUACAAUCAAGACUUCAGAAACCAUUUCAUUCAAGAACUGAAAGAAGACAAUAUGGUAGAACUGGGGAGUAGAGGAGAGAAAUUAAUCUAGCAAGUUCAUCAGCCCUAUGGUAUCAAAGACUCCUCUGUUUCACUCAUUGCUGUUUCCCCCAGGCCUCAGAACAGCAUCUAUAUAAGGGAGGCAGGCGGGUCAGAGUCAUAAAGGUCAUGUGAUGAUGGAAGCAGAGGUCAGAGCGUUGCAGGGCCAUGAGCCAAGGAAUAUGGCUGCCUCUAGAAGCUGGAAAAGGUGAAAAAGAAGGAUUCUCUCCAAAACCUCUAGAAGUAACACAGCCAC
Molecule: long non-coding RNA, 343 nt
Organism: Lagenorhynchus albirostris (white-beaked dolphin)
Lineage: Eukaryota; Metazoa; Chordata; Mammalia; Artiodactyla; Delphinidae
Exons: 3
Source: RefSeq, a predicted model, not a curated record